This 398-nucleotide ribosomal RNA is filed under the name uncultured bacterium. RNAcentral describes it as "partial 16S ribosomal RNA". It matches the Rfam family "Bacterial small subunit ribosomal RNA", at positions 523 to 918 of the family's 1533-position model. The record is from RNAcentral.
AUACGUAGGGUGCGAGCGUUGUCCGGAAUUACUGGGCGUAAAGAGCUCGUAGGUGGUUUGUCGCGUCGUCUGUGAAAUUCCGGGGCUUAACUCCGGGCGUGCAGGCGAUACGGGCAUAACUUGAGUACUGUAGGGGAGACUGGAAUUCCUGGUGUAGCGGUGAAAUGCGCAGAUAUCAGGAGGAACACCGGUGGCGAAGGCGGGUCUCUGGGCAGUAACUGACGCUGAGGAGCGAUAGCAUGGGUAGCGAACAGGAUUAGAUACCCUGGUAGUCCAUGCCGUAAACGGUGGGCGCUAGGUGUAGGGGUCUUCCACGACUUCUGUGCCGUAGCUAACGCAUUAAGCGCCCCGCCUGGGGAGUACGGCCGCAAGGCUAAAACUUAAAGGAAUUGACGGGG